RNAcentral lists this non-coding RNA (29 nucleotides) under Macaca fascicularis (crab-eating macaque). RNAcentral also lists the same sequence under 1 other name. Lineage: Eukaryota; Metazoa; Chordata; Mammalia; Primates; Cercopithecidae. The record is from RNAcentral.
UGGACCUGGACCUCAGAGGCCUGUGGUUU